RNAcentral lists this non-coding RNA (28 nucleotides) under Mus musculus (house mouse). Lineage: Eukaryota; Metazoa; Chordata; Mammalia; Rodentia; Muridae. The record is from RNAcentral.
UAUCAAAGAAGAGGAGACCUACCGAGAG